GGUGGCUCAGUGGUAGAGUGCUUGCCUUGCAUGCAUGAGGUCAUGGGUUCAAUUCCUCAGCACCA
This 65-nucleotide transfer RNA is filed under the name Dipodomys ordii (Ord's kangaroo rat). It matches the Rfam family "tRNA". From Rfam's summary of the family: Transfer RNA (tRNA) molecules are approximately 80 nucleotides in length. Their secondary structure includes four short double-helical elements and three loops (D, anti-codon, and T loops). Further hydrogen bonds mediate the characteristic L-shaped molecular structure. tRNAs have two regions of fundamental functional importance: the anti-codon, which is responsible for specific mRNA codon recognition, and the 3' end, to which the tRNAs corresponding amino acid is attached (by aminoacyl-tRNA synthetases). tRNAs cope with the degeneracy of the genetic code in two manners: having more than one tRNA (with a specific anti-codon) for a particular amino acid; and 'wobble' base-pairing, i.e. permitting non-standard base-pairing at the 3rd anti-codon position. The record is from Rfam by way of RNAcentral. Lineage: Eukaryota; Metazoa; Chordata; Mammalia; Rodentia; Heteromyidae.